RNAcentral lists this ribosomal RNA (1372 nucleotides) under uncultured bacterium. RNAcentral describes it as "bacterial SSU rRNA". It matches the Rfam family "Bacterial small subunit ribosomal RNA", at positions 28 to 1381 of the family's 1533-position model. The record is from RNAcentral.
GAUGAACGCUGGCGGCGUGCCUAAUACAUGCAAGUCGAGCGAACGGACGAGAACCUUGCUUCUCUGAUGUUAGCGGCGGACGGGUGAGUAACACGUGGAUGACCUACCUAUAAGACUGGGAUAACUUCGGGAAACCGGAGCUAAUACCGGAUAAUAUUUUGAACCGCAUGGUUCAAAAGUGAAAGACGGUCUUGCUGUCACUUAUAGAUGGAUCCGCGCUGCAUUAGCUAGUUGGUAAGGUAACGGCUUACCAAGGCAACGAUGCAUAGCCGACCUGAGAGGGUGAUCGGCCACACUGGAACUGAGACACGGUCCAGACUCCUACGGGAGGCAGCAGUAGGGAAUCUUCCGCAAUGGGCGAAAGCCUGACGGAGCAACGCCGCGUGAGUGAUGAAGGUCUUCGGAUCGUAAAACUCUGUUAUUAGGGAAGAACAUAUGUGUAAGUAACUGUGCACAUCUUGAUGGUACCUAAUCAGAAAGCCACGGCUAACUACGUGCCAACAGCCGCGGUAAUACGUAGGUGGCAAGCGUUAUCCGGAAUUAUUGGGCGUAAAGCGCGCGUAGGCGGUUUUUUAAGUCUGAUGUGAAAGCCCACGGCUCAACCGUGGAGGGUCAUUGGAAACUGGAAAACUUGAGUGCAGAAGAGGAAAGUGGAAUUCCAUGUGUAGCGGUGAAAUGCGCAGAGAUAUGGAGGAACACCAGUGGCGAAGGCGACUUUCUGGUCUGUAACUGACGCUGAUGUGCGAAAGCGUGGGGAUCAAACAGGAUUAGAUACCCUGGUAGUCCACGCCGUAAACGAUGAGUGCUAAGUGUUAGGGGGUUUCCGCCCCUUAGUGCUGCAGCUAACGCAUUAAGCACUCCGCCUGGGGAGUACGACCGCAAGGUUGAAACUCAAAGGAAUUGACGGGGACCCGCACAAGCGGUGGAGCAUGUGGUUUAAUUCGAAGCAACGCGAAGAACCUUACCAAAUCUUGACAUCCUUUGACAACUCUAGAGAUAGAGCCUUCCCCUUCGGGGGACAAAGUGACAGGUGGUGCAUGGUUGUCGUCAGCUCGUGUCGUGAGAUGUUGGGUUAAGUCCCGCAACGAGCGCAACCCUUAAGCUUAGUUACCAUCAUUAAGUUGGGCACUCUAAGUUGACUGCCGGUGACAAACCGGAGGAAGGUGGGGAUGACGUCAAAUCAUCAUGCCCCUUAUGAUUUGGGCUACACACGUGCUACAAUGGACAAUACAAAGGGCAGCGAAACCGCGAGGUCAAGCAAAUCCCAUAAAGUUGUUCUCAGUUCGGAUUGUAGUCUGCAACUCGACUACAUGAAGCUGGAAUCGCUAGUAAUCGUAGAUCAGCAUGCUACGGUGAAUACGUUCCCGGGUCU